Molecule: ribosomal RNA, 372 nt
Filed under: uncultured bacterium
Lineage: Bacteria
Description: bacterial SSU rRNA
Rfam family: Bacterial small subunit ribosomal RNA
Source: RNAcentral
AACGAACGCUGGCGGCAGGCCUAACACAUGCAAGUCGAACGCCCUAGCAAUAGGGAGUGGCAGACGGGUGAGUAACGCGUGGGAACCUUCCCUGUGGUGCGGAAUAACUCGCCGAAAGGCGUGCUAAUACCGCAUAAGCCCGAAAGGGGAAGAUUUAUCGCCAUAGGAUGGGCCCGCGUAGGAUUAGCUAGUUGGUGAGGUAAUGGCUCACCAAGGCGACGAUCCUUAGCUGGUUUGAGAGAAUGACCAGCCACACUGGGACUGAGACACGGCCCAGACUCCUACGGGAGGCAGCAGUGGGGAAUCUUGGACAAUGGGCGCAAGCCUGAUCCAGCCAUGCCGCGUGAGUGACGAAGGCCUUCGGUUGUAAAG